GCCUCGUGAAUUCAUCUCCGGGGGUAGAGCACUGUUUCGGCUAGGGGGCCAUCCCGGCUUACCAACCCGAUGCAAACUGCGAAUACCGGAGAAUGUUAUCACGGGAGACACACGGCGGGUGCUAACGUCCGUCGUGAAGAGGGAAACAACCCAGACCGCCAGCUAAGGUCCCAAAGUCAUGGUUAAGUGGGAAACGAUGUGGGAAGGCCCAGACAGCCAGGAUGUUGGCUUAGAAGCAGCCAUCAUUUAAAGAAAGCGUAAUAGCUCACUGGUCGAGUCGGCCUGCGCGGAAGAUGUAACGGGGCUAAACCAUGCACCGAAGCUGCGGCAGCGACGCUGAUGCGUUGUUGGGUAGGGGAGCGUUCUGUAAGCCUGCGAAGGUGGCCUGUGAGGGUUGCUGGAGGUAUCAGAAG
RNAcentral lists this ribosomal RNA (413 nucleotides) under Salmonella enterica subsp. enterica serovar Montevideo. RNAcentral describes it as "partial 23S ribosomal RNA". It matches the Rfam family "Bacterial large subunit ribosomal RNA", at positions 879 to 1288 of the family's 2925-position model. The record is from RNAcentral. Lineage: Bacteria; Pseudomonadati; Pseudomonadota; Gammaproteobacteria; Enterobacterales; Enterobacteriaceae.